UACGAAGGGUGCAAGCGUUGCUCGGAAUUAUUGGGCGUAAAGGGUAGGUAGGUGGUCUCGUUUGUCCGGGGUGAAAGCCUUGAGCUUAACUCAAGAAGUGCCUCGGAAACGGCGAGACUAGAGUAUUGGAGAGGGUCGUGGAAUUCCCGGUGUAGCGGUGAAAUGCGUAGAGAUCGGGAGGAACACCAGAGGCGAAGGCGGCGACCUGGACAAUUACUGACACUCAACUACGAAAGCGUGGGGAGCAAACAGG
Molecule: ribosomal RNA, 253 nt
Filed under: uncultured bacterium
Lineage: Bacteria
Description: partial 16S ribosomal RNA
Rfam family: Bacterial small subunit ribosomal RNA
Source: RNAcentral